AUACGGAGGGUGCAAGCGUUAAUCGGAAUUACUGGGCGUAAAGCGUACGUAGGCGGUCCGUUAAGUUUGAUGUGAAAGCCCCGGGCUUAACCUGGGAACUGCAUUUAAAACUGGCGAACUAGAGUUGAGUAGGGGGGAGUGGAAUUUCAGGUGUAGCGGUGAAAUGCGUAGAGAUCUGAAGGAACACCAGUGGCGAAGGCGACUCCCUGGACUCGAACUGACGCUGAGGUACGAAAGCGUGGGUAGCAAACGGGAUUAGAAACCCUAGUAGUCC
Molecule: ribosomal RNA, 274 nt
Filed under: uncultured bacterium
Lineage: Bacteria
Description: partial 16S ribosomal RNA
Rfam family: Bacterial small subunit ribosomal RNA
Source: RNAcentral